GACGAACGCUGGCGGCGCGCUUAACACAUGCAAGUCGAACGGAAAGGCCUGCUUUCCCUUGUGGAUUGCGGGUACUCGAGUGGCGAACGGGUGAGUAACACGUGAGUGAUCUGCCCCCAACUUGGGUAUAAGCCUGGGAAACUGGGUCUAAUUCCCGAUAGGACUGCAGGGUGGUGCCUGUGGUGGAAAACGAUUUUCUAGUGGUUGGGGAUGAGCUCGCGGCCUAUCAGCCUGUUGGUGGGGUAAUGGCCUACCAAGGCGGCGACGGGUAGCCGGCCUGGGAGAGUGGGCGGCAGCAUUGGGACUGAGAUACGGCCCAGACGCCGACGGGAGGCAGCAGUGGGGAAUAUGGCACGAUGGGCGGAAGCCUGAUGCAGCGACGCCGCGGGGGGGAUGACGGCCUUCGGGUUGUAAACUCCUUUCGACCGAGAGGAAGCCACCUGGUUGGAAGGGUGGUGACGGUAGUGGUAGAAGAAGCACCGGCUAACUACGUG
RNAcentral lists this ribosomal RNA (494 nucleotides) under uncultured bacterium. RNAcentral describes it as "partial 16S ribosomal RNA". It matches the Rfam family "Bacterial small subunit ribosomal RNA", at positions 28 to 507 of the family's 1533-position model. The record is from RNAcentral.